This 30-nucleotide non-coding RNA is filed under the name Mus musculus (house mouse). The record is from RNAcentral. Lineage: Eukaryota; Metazoa; Chordata; Mammalia; Rodentia; Muridae.
UGGAAUUACAAGCAUGCACCUCCUGGACCU